RNAcentral lists this small RNA (86 nucleotides) under Buttiauxella agrestis ATCC 33320. RNAcentral describes it as "OmrA-B family". It matches the Rfam family "OmrA-B family". The record is from Rfam by way of RNAcentral. Lineage: Bacteria; Pseudomonadati; Pseudomonadota; Gammaproteobacteria; Enterobacterales; Enterobacteriaceae.
CCCAGAGGUAUUGAUUGGUGAGAAUUCUAGUUACGUUGUUAAGUAAAUUCUUUGCACCGACCUGCGCAGAUGCGCAGGUUUUUUUU